GAUGAACGCUGCCAGAAUGCUUAACACAUGCAAGUCUUUGGCGAAGCUGUGCUUGCACAGCCUAGCCAAGGCGGACGGGUGAGUAACGCGUAAGGAACUUGCCCUGCAGUCAGGGAUAACAGACGGAAACGACUGAUAAGACCUGGUAAAGUCAGGCGGACUCAUGUCCAGCCUGAUGAAAAGAGAUGCUGCAGGAGAGCCUUGCGUCCUAUUAGCUUGUUGGUGGGGUAACGGCCCACCAAGGCGAUGAUAGGUAGCCGGCCUGAGAGGGUGGACGGCCACAAGGGGACUGAGAUACGGCACUUACUCCUACGGGAGGCAGCAGUGGGGAAUAUUGGACAAUGGGGGCAACCCUGAUCCAGCAAUUCUGUGUGCACGAUGAAGGUUUUCGGAGUGUAAAGUGCUUUCAGCAGGGAAGAAAAAAAUGACGGUACCUGCAGAAGAAGCGACGGCUAAAUACGUG
Molecule: ribosomal RNA, 463 nt
Filed under: uncultured bacterium
Lineage: Bacteria
Description: partial 16S ribosomal RNA
Rfam family: Bacterial small subunit ribosomal RNA
Source: RNAcentral